UUUACAUUUUUAAAUAUUACUUUUACAGCUCUGCUUGUGCUUCUUGGCCUACUUUUGAAGAGUUACUACAACAACAAAUAUUUGAAGACAUUCUACAUUGUAAAACAAUAGCUUCAAUUUAGAAAAAGCAGCACCUGUGCAUGGCAAUUGGCCCCAGUUUUUAUUUUUUUUGCAAUUCACAUAAUUUCUUUCAUAUCAUAUGUUCUUUUACAACUGAUGUGUGAAUAAUAUGCAUAUGUAAAAGCUUUUUUUAAUUGCAAAGGUUCAUUUAAAACCUGCCAAUAUCACGUUUCAUCAUUUAUAACAUGUAAAUUUAUAUAUAUAUAUGGAAUGGUUCUCGAUUUUAUUUAAACAUUUAUUUAUUUAAGGAUCCCCCUAAGUCUUAACCAAAGAUGAGACUACUCUACUUGGGGUCCACAUUGAAAGAAUACAUGCGUCUUUACAUAAAAUCUAAAAAUACAUUACAUCAUUAAAACCUACAUCAAAAUACAAAUAUCAAAAUCAACACAUAGGAAAUGUAUGAUUUUCAAAUAAAACGUCGUAGACUUUUUUUUUUUUGUCUUUCCUUAGAGACAAUAGAUGAUUCACCCGCUAUGUGAGUAUUCUUGUGUUUAUAGUCACUUCUGGGUCACAGUGUGCACGAAAAACAGAACUACAUCUCUGGACCUCAGGGUUUUAAAAUGGAAGAAAUAUGCAGAACUAAAUUUCUGUCAGAGCAGAUUCAAGCAAAUCUUUUGACAGCUGAUCAAGCUUGUCUUUGAAAAUCAACAUUUUGUUGAGUUAAAGUUUAAGAAGUGUCCAGUAAAAAAAGCAGGAGCACAUUGGAGGCUAACCAGCAACUCUGGUGUGUGAUGUUAUGAGUUUACACAAGUUUACUUUCAUUCUAGGAUUUAUGUACUGAGCUCCAUGUCUAUUAGCAUUGGAUUUCGCAUUUCUUUUAACUUAAAAAACAAAGUUGUUCUGAAAAAAAUGUUCUUAUUGUUUCAGCAAACUACAAGGGGCUACAAGGUGGAUGGAUGGAUGAAAGAUAUGCUGCUAACCCCUUAAUCCUGGAGAUGUUGCAGGACUCAGUAAAGAACUGGCACCCCCAAAAUACUGUAACUACUAUUUUCGCAAUUAAAGUAAUUUCAAUUGAUUAAUGGAAAUUUGUUGAAAUACGCUAAUUGCAUAAACACUUAACAAAUGUGAAAUGUUGCAUAUCACCAUAAAGCUGCUUUUCUCCGCGUCAGAAUCUGUUGGAUUUGGCUAAUCGCACUUUACAGCAUUUAAGUGUUGCAUUUAAGUUGCUUUUCUCUGCAGCAAAAUCUAUUGAAAUACGCUAACUACGAAGAAACUUUUCAACUCUAACGUGUUCCACAUCAACGUAUGGCUACUUUCUCCGCUUCAGAAUCUUUUGGACCACAUUUAUUGUGUUAAUUACACCAGGGCUAAAACUUUUUUAUAAUAGGUUUAUUAAAAAAAUUUACUAAAAAAAAAAAAAAAUCAUGUUUAGCUCCUCCCAUCUGUUUCAUAUCAGCAAACUUGUAUUAAUUGUAUUAACUACAUCAGAGGUGAAGCUUUAGUGCAAAAAGGGUUGAAAAUCUGACUCCUCUCAUUUGGAUAAUGGGAUAAGGGGCAGGACAGCAUCAACAGGUCAGUGCUGUCUGCAGCUUCUCUGCCUCUGAUUUUGUGUUUGACUCAAAGCCAGGCUGACAAAAGUACAAAAAAUCUGUCAACCCUUUAGGGAGACAGGAUUCAGCUUUUCUCAGUGUUUUAGUUCACAGACGUCUCAGAAACAGAGAUUAUUUUUCAUUAUAUGUCACUCUUUAACUUUUUUUCCCCCCAGAAAUGUUAAUAUCAAAAGAUGAAUCUCUUUGAAAAUAAAUAAAAAAGUCUAGUUUUGCACAUCUGGAAAAAGGUGAAAUCAGGGAACAGUGGCACAUGUCAGUCACAACAAAAAAGGCGAAUGACUCCGUGAGCUCCCUCUAAUACAACCGAAGAUCUUCAAAGAGUCAGGUGAGACCUUCCAACAUCAAAGAGCCUCAUUUGACACGGCAGACCCACAGUAUUCCAGGCUGUCAGCGGCAACAUAUGUAAGAAUCCUCAUCUGCUUGUACUGAAUCACACACAAUCUGCUAUAGGUGAUAUAAGAUCUAAGUGAAGCACUUACCUCCCUUCACGGCUGUUAUGUAAUGCGCAGACAGAAUGUUGCUUAAAAUAGCUGCAGCUCUGCAUAUGGAAGCACGAGUAGACACCGAUCUACAGCUUGUAAAGUGUCUACAGUGGAGACCACCAGCAGGGAAAUGUAGGUUCAUGUAAGGAUGGUUUUUAGAUCCUCAAAUAAAAGGUUUGAACUAGUUUACAUGCAGGGAAGUCUGCAACAUUUAUGAUGGUAGGUAACCCAACAGUAAAUAAAUAAAGUAAAACAUCGAAAAUGUUUGACAAAUUGCGUAAAUAAUGCUACUGUACAUACUUGUCACGUUAGAAGCGUUAGCUGAGUUAGAGCUUUUACAAUAUGUGGAACUCCCAACCUAGUUUUCAACACUUAAAAAACAGUAAGAUACCGCGAAAACACUCGUUGCUGUGACUCUGCGAACUUCCUACUUUCUUAGUUACAUGUAAAAAAAAAAAAAAAAAAA
Molecule: long non-coding RNA, 2618 nt
Organism: Oryzias melastigma (Indian medaka)
Lineage: Eukaryota; Metazoa; Chordata; Actinopteri; Beloniformes; Adrianichthyidae
Exons: 2
Source: RefSeq, a predicted model, not a curated record